GGGUCGGUGCCCGAGUGGUUAAUGGGGGCGGACUGUAAAUCCGCUGGCAAAGCCUACGUUGGUUCAAAUCCAACCCGGCCCA
RNAcentral lists this transfer RNA (82 nucleotides) under Apoglossum ruscifolium. Its description in RNAcentral is "tRNA-Tyr". It matches the Rfam family "tRNA". From Rfam's summary of the family: Transfer RNA (tRNA) molecules are approximately 80 nucleotides in length. Their secondary structure includes four short double-helical elements and three loops (D, anti-codon, and T loops). The record is from RNAcentral. Lineage: Eukaryota; Rhodophyta; Florideophyceae; Ceramiales; Delesseriaceae. RNAcentral also lists the same sequence under 1 other name.